UUUGUCCUAGUACUUCUUUCAAGUCUUCCUGCUUCUUACAGGAUGGCUUUUUAGCUUCAGACACCUGUCCCCUGUCAACUGUAAAACAUCUAUAGGGGCAAGAUCUGAUGUGCAGUUUACUGAGAAAACACUGGGCUAUCUGCAUGAGACAUGGAUUUUCAUUAUGGUUCCAACUCCGUGUGCUGUCCUAAGUCAUCGUAGUACUCCAUGACUCCAGCCCUCAUCUAUGUCUAUCAUCUUACAAAUCAUAAUUCUCAGAUGUAUCUUGUUCCGGCAACAGUUACUUCACCAAGAAAGAAGCAAAAUUGUAAACCAGCAAAAUACCAACUAUCUCAGCUACAAUAAGCAUAUUUUCUGAUUUAUAAAUGGUAUCUUUGGAUAAGCUUUCAAAGCACUUUUAUAUAUCAUGUUUGGGGGCAAAUUCUGUAAAGUUUCUUAGCUGUGGCUAACAAGAUCUCAGAGGUAUUACAUCAUCAUUAGAAGCUCUGCCAAUGAUUCAAGUAUUUCAGGUGGAGAAGAAGCACACUACCUUUUCUAUUUUAUAGGAAGAGUAAAUUUUCAAGGCCAUUUAAUUCAGCUUAUUACAAGGAUUCUCAGGUCCUCCUUCCACACCUUCUGACAAGUGCUCCCUGAUUCUUUGCUGGAGGACACCCAGGCCCAGGUGCUCAUCAUGUAAUAAACCUGAGAGUUUCUCAAGCAAGAAAAAAUGUUAAAAACACUUCCUUAAAAGUUAAAAUACAUUGUACAACAACUGGAUGUGAUCUGCAUACCAUUUAUACACAGUCUAAUUUACUCCUUUCUUCCAUGUAAAAGCACUUAAAUAAGUCUGAGAUAUAGGCCUGUAUCUGCCAUCACCUCUUAUCAAUUAUCACUUAAAUCAAAGUCUGACUCACACUGUUGUUCAAUAAAAUUAGGUGAAUAAAUUAGGUUGGAAGACUCUCCCCGUGUUUUCUUUUUUCAAGCCAACUCCAAAAAUGGUGCUUACUCUCUUUCUUAAAAAGACAAAACAAACAAACAAACAAACAAAAAACAAUUAACUGAGGCUGCACCUUUUGGAUGGGCCUUCUGGGUUCCUGAGAUCUCUCUCUCUCCCCUUGAUCUCACAGGCCUUAUUGUGGUAAUGGCUUCCUACUGGAGCUGGG
Molecule: non-coding RNA, 1142 nt
Organism: Odocoileus virginianus texanus
Lineage: Eukaryota; Metazoa; Chordata; Mammalia; Artiodactyla; Cervidae
Source: RefSeq, a predicted model, not a curated record